Molecule: small nucleolar RNA, 203 nt
Organism: Aricia agestis (brown argus)
Lineage: Eukaryota; Metazoa; Arthropoda; Insecta; Lepidoptera; Lycaenidae
Product: small nucleolar RNA U3
Exons: 1
Source: RefSeq, a predicted model, not a curated record
AAGACCUUACUUCAUAGGAUCAUUUCUAUAGUAAGCUCUUCACGAGAUCAUCACACUAUGUGAGAUCACCACUAGCCACGAAGAUGAGAGGUGGCGCGGCGUCCUGAGCGUGAGGCGGGCGAUGGUUCCACUACCGUUAGCCCUCGAUGAUCGUUCACCUCUUCUUCGGAAGAGGCGUGGGACGUUGUCGCUUUCUGAGUGGU